RNAcentral lists this ribosomal RNA (631 nucleotides) under uncultured bacterium. Its description in RNAcentral is "bacterial SSU rRNA". The stretch from base 1 to 537 matches the Rfam family "Bacterial small subunit ribosomal RNA", at positions 338 to 873 of the family's 1533-position model. The record is from RNAcentral.
CCUACGGGAGGCAGCAGUAGGGAAUAUUGGGCAAUGGAGGCAACUCUGACCCAGCCAUGCCGCGUGAACGAAGAAGGCGCUAUGCGUCGUAAAGUUCUUUUAGAGGGGGCGAAAACACUUGAUUCAUCAAGUACUGACGGUACCUUCGGAAUAAGCACCGGCUAACUCUGUGCCAGCAGCCGCGGUAAUACAGAGGGUGCAAGCGUUAUCCGGAAUCACUGGGUUUAAAGGGUGCGUAGGCGGGAUUAUGAGUCAGAGGUGAAAUCUCGUCGCUUAACGACGGAAUUGCCUUUGAUACUGUUUUUCUUGAAAUUUGUUGAGGUUGGCGGAAUGAGACAUGUAGCGGUGAAAUGCUUAGAUAUGUCUUAGAACACCGAUUGCGAAGGCAGCUGACUGGACAAUAUUUGACGCUGAGGCACGAAAGCGUGGGGAUCAAACAGGAUUAGAUACCCUGGUAGUCCACGCCCUAAACGAUGUUUACUUGCUGUUUGUUUUUCGGAAUUGAGUGGGUGAGAGAAGAGAGUAAGUAAACCGACCGUAGGGAGGUACGGCCGCCGAAGGUAGGUAAACGUUAAAGGUUAAAGUUAGUUACGGCGUGAGACGUUGCGACGGACGACGACGAGGGAGGAGG